Non-coding RNA from Podarcis lilfordi (Lilford's wall lizard), 76 nucleotides. Lineage: Eukaryota; Metazoa; Chordata; Lepidosauria; Squamata; Lacertidae. The record is from the annotation of a GenBank genome assembly.
GCCCUGUGGGUAGCUCAGUUAGUACAGCAUGAGUCUUGUAAUCUUAGGGUUGUGGGUUCAAGCCCUAUGUUGGGCA